CCGAGAAGUAAGGCUGUGUCUCACCUCUCUCAUCACCUCUCCCUCUCGCCCUUUCUUUCGGCAACCGGCUGGUGUCUCGUCAAACAACACGCACACGGGCCACACUUUUUUUUGCUUCAGUGACAUCGCUACUCCGACACGGGUGCCCCCCUUCCCUCUCCCCUCACACACACAUGGGGUGGCGAAACACGUUCACAGUCGCUCUUUCCUACGCAAGUGUAAUAACAUCCACGCUCCCUUGGUGCCUGUGUGCGCCUGUGCGGGGAAUGCAGAAAGGCUCCCGAGGCUGCCGGGCGAUUUGAAUUCGAACCCCGUCGAGUAGCCGUCAUAAUGGUCAACGAGGCACCUUACCUCACGAAUCGUGUGGUGGCACUGCUGAUGUUGGCAGUCUUCGUCCUGUGCCUCUGUGCAGAUCGGCUCCAGUGCCAGAACAACGGGUGGCGAUCCAUGUGCAUCGGCAGGCUCGCGUACAAGUGCUCAAGUGAAUGGUGCCGAUCAUCUGUUAUCACACCGACAAGCGUUUCGCUGGCGAGCUCGUGCGUAGGCAAGGGCAACGCGCUUGUACUGAUAGCGCUGGUAGAGGUGGGCCCAUCUGUGGUGUCGAGGAGAGGCGAGAAUAUUAGCAAGUACAUGGCUGACGAGCUGCGUAGGCAGAUCGACUCUGGCGAGUUUCAGCGUGCGGUGCGGCUAACCCUUGCUGCGCCCCGCUUUGCAUCAGACAACACAGGAGACGAUCCGCGGACAAGCCUCACGGAGCUGUUCAGGGAGAAAGCAUCAUUGCGAGCGAUCUUCGAUGUCCCUCGUAAUCAGACGCGCUACAUGGUGGUUAACGAUGUUGUGCCGCUGCCCGCGGUGGAUGGGCUAGGCAACUUCAGCUACACCACCUGGGAGGAGGCGGUCGAUGCGGCAUUGCCGGUGAGCAAGGUGGAUGAUGCUUCACAGCUGCCGCGCUACUUUCCCAACCUGUACACCAAAUUGGCGGCUUUCAGUAAUGAGCGCGCCGCCAGUGCAGCGCCGCCGUCGUCGAAGCAGUGCGAUGCGCUGGUAGUGGUGGUGGGAACCAUUGCCCAUCCGCUGGCGAGCGUGCGCAGCGUGUGGCAGACGCCGCGGGAUGCUGGAGCGCAGCUCUCUCUGGGACACGAGUACGUGCGGGGCGCCGUCACGCGCUACUUGAUGACGUGUAGGAAGUUUCUGAGGAAUGUGCACGGGGUGUACUACCUCCAAUACGAGUCCCGGCUGCCCGCGUGGGCUUUCACAGCGGAGGUGGUGGGAGGCCAGCGUGAGGAGCUCUCCAUCAUUACGGCAACUAAUGCAACGGCGGACAGGGCCCCGGCACUCGGUAAUACUUCUUCGUUUGCUGCCGCGUUCUGCACCUCUGCCAACGCCACCGCCCCGUCCGCGCCCCUGCGGCCGUGCGAACAGGCCUGCCGGAUAUACGGCCGCAUCGCAUCUGAUCUCAUUGCCGGUGACCGUGGUAUCGCCCUUACGUCCUUUGAGAAGCACCACCAGUUCAGUUCCUCCUCGUUCACCUACAACUGCUACUACGAAGUGCUCUCCGCGCAGGGUGAGGCUGCGAUCAACGGCACCUUUGACGCCAAGACGGUGUCGCGCGUGUUCGACGACUGCCUGCACCUCUCACCAGCCGGCAGUCGGGCGUACGCGAGGUGUUUGCUUCGCAGAUAGGCAGACGGCACGGGCUCUCGAGGACGGUGGGCAGCAAGGCCUUCAUCCUUGGCAGCGUGGGUCGACGUGCUGAGUACGCGGUGCAUGAGAACACCGAGGCUGCCUCCAAAGCAUAUUGCUGCUUGUCUGCGUGUGCCCCGGAUAGGCGGCGCGCGAUCGUUGCAUCUCUCUACAGGUUCUUCUUCCUCGCGGUGGGCGCUCCUUCUCAAUCCCAUUAUGUGUGUGUGUGUGUGCUUUUCUUGCAUUGUGUACACCUGCGUCUGUUCCGUUUCGUUUCUUCACCGCCCCCCUUUCUCACUGCUGUCUUUUCCUAUUCCUUCCAUCGCUCGCGUAUACACGGGCCUGCACGUCUAUGACAGUUUCGCAACUGCCAGUGCCGGCGUGCGCCUUCUCCUUUGUCUUGCCGAGCAUUACACGAAGUUAAGGCGAUGUAGGGGGUGCGUGGCGGAGAGCGUGUCUCUAUGCAUGUGUGUGUGUGUGUGUGUGUGGUACGUGACACGUGACACGUAG
Molecule: unclassified non-coding RNA, 2193 nt
Filed under: Leishmania donovani
Lineage: Eukaryota; Euglenozoa; Kinetoplastea; Trypanosomatida; Trypanosomatidae
Description: gene:LdHU3.26.0570(CDS-product:hypothetical_prote in)
Source: RNAcentral